CCUACGGGAGGCUGCAGUGGGGAAUAUUGCACAAUGGGGGAAACCCUGAUGCAGCGACGCCGCGUGAGUGAAGAAGUAUUUCGGUAUGUAAAGCUCUAUCAGCAGGGAAGAAACCCACCCUCCGGGGUGGCUGACGGUACCUGACUAAGAAGCCCCGGCUAACUACGUGCCAGCAGCCGCGGUAAUACGUAGGGGGCAAGCGUUAUCCGGAUUUACUGGGUGUAAAGGGAGCGUAGGUGGCAAGGCAAGUCAGAUGUGAAAACCCGGGGCCCAACCCCGGGAGUGCAUUUGAAACUGUCUGGCUAGAGGGCAGGAGAGGUAAGUGGAAUUCCUAGUGUAGCGGUGAAAUGCAUAGAUAUUAGGAGGAACACCAGUGGCGAAGGCGGCUUAUUGGACUGUAACUGACACUGAGGCUCGAAAGCGUGGGAGCAAACAGGAUUAGAUACCCUUGUAGUC
Molecule: ribosomal RNA, 456 nt
Filed under: uncultured bacterium
Lineage: Bacteria
Description: partial 16S ribosomal RNA
Rfam family: Bacterial small subunit ribosomal RNA
Source: RNAcentral